Molecule: ribosomal RNA, 253 nt
Filed under: uncultured bacterium
Lineage: Bacteria
Description: partial 16S ribosomal RNA
Rfam family: Bacterial small subunit ribosomal RNA
Source: RNAcentral
UACGUAGGGGGCAAGCGUUAUCCGGAUUUACUGGGUGUAAAGGGAGCGUAGACAGCAGAGCAAGUCUGAAGUGAAAGCCCGCGGCCCAACUGCGGGACUGCUUUGGAAACUGCCCGGCUAGAGUGCUGGAGAGGUAAGCGGAAUUCCUAGUGUAGCGGUGAAAUGCGUAGAUAUUAGGAGGAACACCAGUGGCGAAGGCGGCUUACUGGACAGUAACUGACGUUGAGGCUCGAAAGCGUGGGGAGCAAACAGG